Triticum aestivum (bread wheat) is the source of this 125-nucleotide non-coding RNA. The record is from Rfam. NCBI's taxonomy places the organism in Eukaryota, Viridiplantae, Streptophyta, Magnoliopsida, Poales, Poaceae.
GUAAUACUUCCUUCGUCCGGAAAUACUUGUCACAUGAAUAGAUAAAAUUGGAUGUAUCUAAAACUAAAAUGCGUCUAGAUACAUUUAUUUUCAUGAAAAGUAUUUCCAAACGGAGGGAGUAUGUA